GUUUGCAGAAGGGCGAUUGAGGUGUAC
RNAcentral lists this small RNA (27 nucleotides) under Bombyx mori (domestic silkworm). RNAcentral's name for it is "ovarian small RNA-17996". Lineage: Eukaryota; Metazoa; Arthropoda; Insecta; Lepidoptera; Bombycidae. The record is from RNAcentral.